CACACUGCACCCAGAAAUCUGCUUUCUCUCCUGAGCUGUCAGAUUGAGGAGGAGGGCAGGGUGUGCUGGGGCUGCCUGAAGAAACCACAGUUUGGAAGAGCUGGGAUUUCAGUUGUUGAGACUAAUGCAUCGUGACACCUCGAUUACACGAAGUGUGGCUGGCUCCUCCUGCCCUCUCUCUUCUGGGUGAAAGCCUGUGAACCUGCCAGGUUCUGGAUCUGCCCCAUUUCAGCCAGGUUCUGGAUCUGCUCUCUUUCUGGGUGAAAGCCUGCUGCCUGGCCUGGAUCUGCCCCGUUUCGGCCGUCCCCCGCUGUCCCCUGCACCCGCGGCAGGGGGGACACAGGCCAGCCGUCCCCACGCUGCUGUCAGACCCCUCAGUGACACCUCGGAAGGGACGAGGCUUCUAUCUGUGCUGCUGUGUACCUGCUGUCCUCGACAAUGGUAAGGAACAAUAAGAAGCGGGGAGCUGCGGCGGCGCGCAGGCAGCAGCGCCGUGCCCCUGCCCCGGGCUGUGGCAGAACCUGGGAGAGCAGGACCCACAGCUGCAGGGAGAGCAAUGGAAUGUUCUGUGACCGAGGCUGCCUGGCCCCGGAUCUGCAAUGAUCAAAUCCUGGGCUCGUUUUGCAGGCUGCAGCUCCUGAGAAUGGGAAGCCAGCUAGAGCAGCAUCGCUCCAGCUGUGGAACUGGGAUGCUGCAACAGCAGCCUGCAGGAGGAGGACAGACACACUGGGCUCCUGAGGCACCGUGUUUUGAUGGACUUACUCUUCCACUUGUGAGACAAUGGACUGAGGAGCCAGUGGCACUGCUGCUGCAUGGAUCUGGUGGCAAUGCUGUGUCUGCUGCCAGCACCACGAGAACACGUGUGGCCGUGUCCUGCUGGUGCAGGUGAUGGCUGUCACCCUGCAGCUCCUUGGCUGUGUCCAUCCCAGGCUCAGGACCAGCCGCAGCGUGUGCGAGGAGCCUGACUGAAGCCCCGGCAGCUUUGCCCAGCAGCACACAGGCUCCUCGCUGGGCAGUGAGCCUGUGCCCUGCAGCCACCCCCUGCAGCCUGCUCGGGAUGACAUUCAGUGGUGCCAGGUUGUCACUCUAGGACACGG
Motacilla alba alba is the source of this 1097-nucleotide long non-coding RNA. RefSeq lists it as uncharacterized. The record is from RefSeq and is a predicted model, not a curated record. The transcript has 4 exons. Lineage: Eukaryota; Metazoa; Chordata; Aves; Passeriformes; Motacillidae.